AAUCAACGCUGGCGGCGUGCCUCAGACAUGCAAGUCGAACGAUUAAACUCGCCUUCGGGUGAGAUAUAAAGUGGCGCACGGGUGAGUAACACGUAGGUAAUGUGCCUUUGGGUGGGGAAUAACAGUCGGGAAACGACUGCUAAUACCGCAUAAUGCAGCGGCUCCUUCGGGAGACAGUUGUUAAAGAUUUAUCGCCUAAAGAGCAGCCUGCGGCAGAUUAGCUAGNGGUAAGGUAACGGCUUACCAAGGCAACGAUCUGUAUCCGACCUGAGAGGGUGGUCGGACACACUGACACUGGAAUAACGGGUCAGACUCCGUACGGGAGGCAGGCAGUCGGGAAUUUUGGGCAAUGGGCGCAAGCCUGACCCAGCAACGCCGCGCGAAGGAUGAAGUUUUUCGGAAU
RNAcentral lists this ribosomal RNA (403 nucleotides) under uncultured bacterium. Its description in RNAcentral is "bacterial SSU rRNA". It matches the Rfam family "Bacterial small subunit ribosomal RNA", at positions 32 to 424 of the family's 1533-position model. The record is from RNAcentral.